CAAUACGUCAGCGGCAGACGGGUGAGUAACGCGUGGGAACGUACCUUUUGGUUCGGAACAACCCAGGGAAACUUGGGCUAAUACCGGAUAAGCCCUUACGGGAAAGAUUUAUCGCCGAAAGAUCGGCCCGCGUCUGAUUAGCUAGUUGGUGAGGUAAUGGCUCACCAAGGCGACGAUCAGUAGCUGGUCUGAGAGGAUGAUCAGCCACAUUGGGACUGAGACACGGCCCAA
Molecule: ribosomal RNA, 231 nt
Filed under: uncultured bacterium
Lineage: Bacteria
Description: partial 16S ribosomal RNA
Rfam family: Bacterial small subunit ribosomal RNA
Source: RNAcentral